RNAcentral lists this ribosomal RNA (497 nucleotides) under uncultured bacterium. RNAcentral describes it as "partial 16S ribosomal RNA". It matches the Rfam family "Bacterial small subunit ribosomal RNA", at positions 28 to 507 of the family's 1533-position model. The record is from RNAcentral.
GAUGAACGCUGGCGGCGUGCCUAAUACAUGCAAGUCGAGCGAACAGACGAGGAGCUUGCUCCUUUGACGUUAGCGGCGGACGGGUGAGUAACACGUGGAUAACCUACCUAUAAGACUGGGAUAACUUCGGGAAACCGGAGCUAAUACCGGAUAAUAUAUUGAACCGCAUGGUGCAAUAGUGAAAGACGGCUUUGCUGGCACUUAUCGAUGGAUCCGCGCCGCAUUAGCUAGUUGGUAAGGUAACGGCUUACCAAGGCGACGAUGCGUAGCCGACCUGAGAGGCUGAUCGCCCACCCUGGAGCUUGGACGCGGUCCAGACUCCUACGGGAGGCAGCAGUAGGGAAUCUUCCGCAAUGGGCGAAAGCCUGACGGAGCGGCGCCGCGUGAGUGAUGACGGUCUUCGGUUCGUAAAGCUCUGUUAUUGGGGAAGAACAGAUGUCGACUUAGCUGUGCACGUCUUGACGGUACCUAAUCAGGAAGCCACGGCUAACUACGUG